Parelaphostrongylus tenuis is the source of this 73-nucleotide non-coding RNA. NCBI's taxonomy places the organism in Eukaryota, Metazoa, Nematoda, Chromadorea, Rhabditida, Metastrongylidae. The record is from the annotation of a GenBank genome assembly.
GCGUCAGUAGUGCAACGUUUCAACACACACUCCCGGAAAGAGUGAGAUAUGGGUUCGAAUCCCGACUGACGCA